UCCUUUACUUUCUCGCUAAAUUCCACUGGCAUUUUCAGUUGAAUAACUUCUCAGCUGGCAUGUCUGUUUCUGCACAUGAAAUUUUACACAAUGGCAACGUGACCCUAUUAUUUAUCUGUUUCUAGAUGUAGUAGUUUUACUG
Long non-coding RNA from Sphaeramia orbicularis (orbiculate cardinalfish), 142 nucleotides. RefSeq lists it as uncharacterized. The record is from RefSeq and is a predicted model, not a curated record. The transcript is spliced from 3 exons. NCBI's taxonomy places the organism in Eukaryota, Metazoa, Chordata, Actinopteri, Kurtiformes, Apogonidae.